AAUAUUGGACAAUGGGGGCAACCCUGAUCCAGCCAUGCCUCGUGUGUGAAGAAGGUCUUCGGAUUGUAAAGCACUUUAAGUUGGGAGGAAGGGCUUUAGGUUAAUAGCCGGAAGUUUUGACGUUACCAACAGAAUAAGUACCGGCUAACCCUGUGCCAGCAGCCCGGGUAAUACAGAGGGGGCAAGCGUUAAACGGAAUUACAGGGGGUAAAGCGGGCGUUGGUGGUUCAGGAAGGUUGGUGUGAAAUCCCCGGGCUUUACCCGGGAACUGCUUUUAAUACCGCCGAGCUAAAGGAAGGGAGAGGGGAAGGGAAUUUUCUGUGUAGGGGUGAAAUUCGGAGAUUUAAGAAGGAAAACCAGUGGGGAAGGGGACUUACUGGACUGGAAAUUACAAUUAGGUUCGAAAGCGUGGGGGGGAAAC
RNAcentral lists this ribosomal RNA (421 nucleotides) under uncultured bacterium. RNAcentral's name for it is "partial 16S ribosomal RNA". It matches the Rfam family "Bacterial small subunit ribosomal RNA", at positions 360 to 773 of the family's 1533-position model. The record is from RNAcentral.